Molecule: ribosomal RNA, 107 nt
Filed under: Gardnerella vaginalis
Lineage: Bacteria; Bacillati; Actinomycetota; Actinomycetes; Bifidobacteriales; Bifidobacteriaceae
Description: 23S ribosomal RNA
Source: RNAcentral
CGUUCGAACUGAAUCUGAGAGUACUAACCUUCGUUAUUCUGGUUGAUUAUCUUUCGGGGUUUUCUUCUGGUUUAGUGUUGGGAGCGUAUCGGUAGUAGGUUAGCGUG